AGCAAGUCGAACGGUAACAGGAAUAGCUUGCUAUUUGCUGACGAGUGGCGGACGGNUGAGUAAUGUAUAGGAACUUGCCUAGUAGUGGGGGACAACUUAUGGAAACGUAAGCUAAUACCGCAUAAUCUCUACGGAGGAAAGUGGGGGACCUUUCGGGGCCUCACGCUAUUAGAUAGGCCUAUAUCAGAUUAGCUAGUUGGUGAGGUAAUGGCUCACCAAGGCGACGAUCUGUAGCUGGUUUGAGAGAAUGAUCAGCCACACUGGGACUGAGACACGGCCCAGACUCCUACGGGAGGCAGCAGUGGGGAAUAUUGCACAAUGGAGGAAACUCUGAUGCAGCAAUGCCGCGUGUGUGAAGAAGGCCUUAGGGUUGUAAAGCACUUUCAAUAGGGAGGAAAAGUUAGUAGUUAAUAACUGCUAGCCGUGACGUUACCUAUAGAAGAAGGACCGGCUAACUCCGUGCCAGCAGCCGCGGUAAUACGGAGGGUCCGAGCGUUAAUCGGAAUUACUGGGCGUAAAGCGCGCGUAGGCGGUUUACUCAGUCAGAUGUGAAAGCCCCGGGCUCAACCUGGGAACUGCAUUUGAUACUGGUAGGCUAGAGUAUGGUAGAGGUGAGUGGAAUUUCAGGUGUAGCGGUGAAAUGCGUAGAGAUCUGAAGGAACAUCAGUGGCGAAGGCGACUCACUGGGCCAUUACUGACGCUGAGGUGCGAAAGCGUGGGUAGCAAACAGGAUUAGAUACCCUGGUAGUCCACGCCCUAAACGAUGUCAACUAGGUGUGUGAGAGUUUAUCUCUUGCGUAUCGAAGCUAACGCGAUAAGUUGACCGCCUGGGGAGUACGGCCGCAAGGCUAAAACUCAAAUGAAUUGACGGGGGCCCGCACAAGC
Molecule: ribosomal RNA, 885 nt
Filed under: uncultured bacterium
Lineage: Bacteria
Description: bacterial SSU rRNA
Rfam family: Bacterial small subunit ribosomal RNA
Source: RNAcentral